UCCCUCGACAACCGGCUCCUGCAAAGUAGUCGAGUACCCGCACGUACCCGCGAGUAUCGUGCGACUCGGCGAGGGGGGAGAGGAAAAAAAAAAUCGAGCUUUUCAUACCGUCAAUUAUUCAAGGAGCUACGGCAAUGGGUACUCACUCCGCUGGAAGUAGGAGAAAAGAAAAAAGGAAUGAUAAAAGCGAAACGUUGAAUCGGGGAGGAAUUUUUUGUCCCUCCGUUAAUUGCCAUCCCCUGGAGAAUAACACCUCUCGGUAAUUCUUAGGCUGGAAAUGUAAAACGGUUUCUCUAUAGCGUCGAUUUCGAUGUGUCAGAGAUUGUCGACCGUUCGUCUCCCUGCAGAGUACGGCGGCUACGGCCACGCGGGUUUCUUGUUACCGCAGAAGAGGAAGAACACCAAGAAGAAGAAGAAGAAGAAGAAGAAGACGUGGACGGAGUCGAAGGAGGAGGAGGAGGAGGAGGAGGAGGAGGAGGAGAAGAAGAUGUUCGAAGAAGUGGCAAUGCCUCUUAUGCGCCGGGAUAGCUAAUGAGACAAGUGAGCUAUCGUCGGAAAGCUCUGAACCAGACCUCGGCCAAGGCGCCAACAAAAUAAAUGUGCAGCUCGCUUUCGUAUACCGGGGACGUUACACGGUGGCGAGACCGGUUUCAGGGGACCGAUUUCGAUUCCGAUGCCGCAUCUUCUGCUUCUAUAUAGGUAUAAUACCGGCGUUCCACGCGAACCAUCCCUCUUCAGCUAUCGGUGUACCGUUCGGGGUGAUUCGCCGCGAGUCGAGCGACACCCCGAAAUCCACGGGGCCCCGACUCUCGAGCGAUUCGAUUCAGACCACUGAGACGUCCGGCGCGGACAUAAUUCCGCAGAUUCGGAGAUUAGAAAAUCAAGACUCGGGGUUUUUUUUCUUUUUUUUUUUCAACUUCCAGGUGUCGUCCGGUCUAUCGCGUGCCGACGGCUAAGGUGUUGUUUCGACACCCGCGAAACUAUUGCGAGAUUACAGUGUGCAGCUGCAGGUUGCGCGGUGCGGAUAGAUAGAGAAAACGUUUGAUAAUGACGGUCGUGAAACGCUGGACGACGAUCGUCACGUUAAAUACCGAAUUCUAGGAGGUGCAACCCUCGUCUAAUUUCGUGCUGCGGGAUCAGAGCAAUUAUCGUAAUACGUACGUACAUACAUAUAUACCUGAUGUGGACGGUCGCCAAAAUUUUAAACGUUGCAAAUUAUAUUUACUCAAAGUUUCUUUGAUACCGUCUUUUGUCGGGAGAAGUGUGUACAACGGCUGCGAGACGACCACUCCGUAGAGGCAGGGGUGACAAAAAACUCGAAAACAAAAAAAACACAAAAAAACACGAAAAAAAAAAAUCAACGUACGGUCGUAAAUCUCCGGAGUUUUGACACGCGGAGUCCGUAGUUAAUAUCUUUCCGUCAAAGCUAGUUUCUCCGGUUAAUUGUUGGCUAUUCGGUUGCUCGUAGCUAGUAGGCCUCCCGAGUUGCUCCGCAGCGUUCAAGAGACACGGUUUGUUGUACGAUGCUUUGUUGUUAACCACGCGCUGCAUGUGGGCUGAUAAUAAAUACGAAGCACGUGCAGCCCCGGCUCUAUGGACUGAUCCGUUCGCUCGCUUUCGAGCUCCUCUUCGCGCGGAAUGGUACGGUCUCGGGAUAGGAGCGGCACAAAGACGUCGUGACUCGAAAAGGAGAACCAGUGGCAGCGGAACAAUUCAUCUCGCGCUUGAGGCGUCGAAAGAAGGAGCGGAGCACCUUCCGCGGGUUGUUGCGCUAACGCGAAGUGAAAACCUUUUCGUCGUCUCAGUGCCUUUGGCCGCCGCUGCAUCGCAAAAGACCGACCGACCGCCAUAGCCGGCUCCGCUCCGUCACUGAUCGCUGGAAUGUCGCUGCUUCUUCAUAUUUUAAUUUCAGGUUUCGGCUAGCUCACCCCCUGCAUCCUCCUCCUCUCGACGAC
This 1955-nucleotide unclassified non-coding RNA is filed under the name Athalia rosae (coleseed sawfly). RNAcentral describes it as "misc RNA ENSAEAG00005006083.1". The record is from RNAcentral. Lineage: Eukaryota; Metazoa; Arthropoda; Insecta; Hymenoptera; Athaliidae.